UGUUAUGUUACUGUUACUUUGUGUUUACUGGAUUGUUUUUUGAUUAUGUUGGUUAUCGUAAUUCGUAUGUAAUUAUUGAUGAGAAUUUAAAUUCUCAGAGAUCAAAAACAGAGACAUUUUCUCCUACGACGUCUUGAGUACGAAAGAUUUUAAAUUAUUCUGCAAUAUGAUUACUAUGUUUUUUUGAUAGAUUGUGUAUAUAAAUUUCGAAUUUUUUUAAAUAGAUUAUUCUUACUAAUAUAUUGUGAAUGUGUUACUUUUAGAAAUAUUUUCAUAUGAUUUUCUUUAUAAAUUAUGAAUAUUUUUAAUAAAAGGUUUAUAUAUUUAAUUGCUCCUUGUUGUCUUUACUGAACUAACUUGACGUAACCUGCCUGCUUAUAGGCGUCAGAUGUGUCUUAAAAGCAGAAAAUGCGUGUCUUUAAAUGAUUUAUAACAUAUUCAAGAGCCGUCCAUUAAAGUCAUCGAGAGAAACUUACAAACUUUCCCUCGCGAGACUUAAUUAGUCACGAGAAAUAAGGAUGAAUCGAUAUGGAGUAUAUUAUCGAAGACUACUUAAUGGCUAAGCUAAGUGAUUAGAAUGAAAAUGAUCGGUUGUAAUGAUAAGGAUAAUUUAGCGACAUGUAGUUUAUCAGUGUCUGUUAUUGCUACGCGAACUUGUCGAUAAAGUAGACUUUUUCUAAAUUUAGGAAACAUGUCGAGACGAACUGAACAGCCUUCGCGAAGCGCGCGACUCGGUGGACGCCCCUUAGAUGUGUAAAAGAUUGCAAGAAAUAUUUACUUGCAUACUAUAUACGGAUGCGAAUGUGUGGAUCACUUUACUGACCGGUAAUGAGAGUUAUAUUUUAGCGUAAAUUAAAGUGACAGGUAUUGUAAUAAACCAAACGGAAGAGCCAUUGUUUUAUAUUACGCUCUCUCGCUCUAUUGUGUAAUAAUUGUUUUAUAUAUAUACACAUAUAUAAUAUAUAAUAAUGUUGACUGGUUCGAGAGACUCUCCAAUCGAACUCCCGUCACUCCCGCGACAAUAUAACUGUUUCUUUUCCUAGAUAAGAAACAUAAGGGAGAUGACGCUUAGCGAAAAAGAAAAAAAAACUGUAUCCCACUUCUUUCAUUAGAUAUUAAUAGAUGGUAAAUGAUGAUUGUGGUUUAAUUGUGCAUUCGAUCAUUGCUGCUUUCUUAGUUAUUGAGUCGUACUCCAUAAAAAAGAGAAAGCUCGAAAGACUAAGAAUUUUUUACUAUUACUAAUACUUACAUUUUUCUUGAGCACACACGUACGCACACGCACACACUCACACACACACGCACACGCACGCACACGCAGGCACACACUUUGUAGCUGCUGAGUGAUGGCGAAGCAUUUACGUCAUAUCAUAUAAAUAUUGUAGAACUUUUAUAAUAUUCAUUAUUUUUUGUCACACACAAAAACUUAACAAAAUUUUGCAGUCACAAAUAAAUAGAUAGAACCAAACUAUACCUUCCUAUCUUUUGCAAUUUUAUCUGCACAAUAAAAGCGCGAUAUGUUAGUGUUGGAUGAUUCAUGUUUUAAAAACGAUAUUAAAAGAAUUUCUAAAGAUUUGCGUAUUUCGUCUUGUUUCAGGCAAGUAUCGUUUAAACUACCGUAUCAAUCUUUUUAAUAAUGAUAGUUUAAAAUCUUAUUUUUUUUGUUCUUUCUUUAUUUUUUUAUUCCUUUACUUUUUAUUCCCUGUUAAAAUAUAAAUUUAAUAAACUGUUAAAGAACUCCGUACAUAUUUAUGCGCGACACAUUAUUUGGUAACAGUUAUUCGUACGUCGUUAUAUUUUCGAACAUAACUCAGUUUGUCAACAAUAUACAUAUAGCAUUUAGAAAAAUAAAUAUUGUAAAUAUCUUCUCAGUGUCCUUUAACACGAAGAUAUACAUCGAAAAUAGCUUGUAAGAAGCUCGGAACAAUAGCGUCCUCGGAAAAAUUAUCAGUUAUAUCCGAGAACUGUGCGAAGACAGCUACCUAAUUUUUCUGCUAAGGUACCAUAUUUCACGUACGCAUAAUUUCCAAAUUUACAAUAAAGUAUUCGUUAUCUCAUUCGUUAUUCAGGGAAACAAAAUAUAUCCUUAUAGCCAUUUUCAUGAAUUUUUUGCAAGGUUGGUGCAUCCGUGGUCUUUUGGAGGAAUUGCAGGAACGCGAUAGUCGGUUGGCAUUAUUGCGAAUACUCAAUCUUAUGAUCAAUAAAAUACGAUAAACAAAUACAAUCCGAUGCACGAAGGGUGUUAUUUCGAGUUACCGUGUGAGAUACAGCUGAAGCGAGCUGUGAUUAACGUGAAAUUUAUAGACUAUGCGUGUUUCGCGUGGACGAUGAUCCACCGCUCUACAUCCAGUCGAUAGAUAUACAAGAUCGCACAUCAUCGUAUCUCCACUACACUGCACGAGCGUACUCAAUCUUCAAGACAUUGAGUUUCUCAUGAAAAUUAACCAAAUAAUAAGAUUUGAACGAUUAAGAAAAGAACGAAGCGUCUAUCACAUUGUUCCGAUACGUCUCAACGACAGGAAGAAGAAAAACACGUCAACUUACUACACAUUUUGAAUCUUCGAGACCACAACGCGGGACAUUUUGCCUGGAUCAAGAACUUAUCCUGGCUCGCAGUUGAGCAAGAAAAUACAUUUGCGAUUGGUAUCUACACUACUUCCAUUUCAACAAGAAGCUAGAGAGUUACACAACAAAUUGCCAAAAAUUGAAUGACUGUGCCAUCAUUCUGCCGACUGUUGACAACAAGUGGCUAAGCUUUAGCAGGAAGAAGCGAAUUCCAUUUGUAGUGUACGCUGACCUGGAGUAUACGCUGGAGAAGACUGCAAAGAAUGGGGAGGGUCACAAAUCGCACACGUAUCAGCAUCACAAGGUAUUUAGCAUAGCGUACUACUUGUAUUGCUCGUACGAUUCAUUAUCAUAUUUUCGGAGCCGUCACGAUGCUGAUUGCUUUUCAUGGUUCAUCGAACAACUCGAGGUGUUAGCGCACCGCGUAAAAGUAAUUUUAUCCACCAAUGUCCCCAUAGAAACUUUGUCGAAAGAACAAUGGGCGCUAUUUUGUAAUGCGACGCAUUGUCAUGUGUGCGAGAAAUCAUUCGUGGCGGAGGAUACGCGCGUACGCGAUCAAUGGCCGCGUUCAGCAGAGAAAGCUGCUUUGCAACUGU
Odontomachus brunneus is the source of this 3158-nucleotide long non-coding RNA. RefSeq lists it as uncharacterized. NCBI's taxonomy places the organism in Eukaryota, Metazoa, Arthropoda, Insecta, Hymenoptera, Formicidae. The record is from RefSeq and is a predicted model, not a curated record. The transcript is spliced from 2 exons.